This 1104-nucleotide long non-coding RNA is filed under the name Olea europaea (common olive). Its description in RNAcentral is "long non-coding RNA (OEUR_LNC012540)". Lineage: Eukaryota; Viridiplantae; Streptophyta; Magnoliopsida; Lamiales; Oleaceae. The record is from RNAcentral.
ACAAUUCGUUUUUGGCCAGGACAGAUUCAGCCUACAAGACUCUGCAGGUGAAGCUUUGCUAUGCACCCAUCAGCCAACAGGACAGGGCCUGGAGAAAAACAGAGGACAAUUUAGUCAGGGACAAAACCUGCCAACACAAGAUUGUUGCAAAGCCAUACAGAUCCUCGACCUCUCACAACAAUUUUACUUGGAAAGUGCAAAGGGAUGUGCCAACUGGAACGUACUUUGUCCGGGCAUAUGCUUACAACUCUGCAGACGAAGAGGUUGCCUACGGCCAGACCACAGACGCUAAUAAGACUACUAAUUUAUUCCAAGUCGAGGCAAUCAGUGGACGUCAUGUCUCGCUAGAUAUUACCUCGAUUUGCUUCUCGGCUUUUGCAGUCGUGUCUUUGUUUGGGUUCUUCUUGUUGGAGAAGAGAAGAACCAAAAACUCCCAAGAAAAGUGAUGCGACCUUUGAGUACUAUAUUUUUUCCUUUUUUUAAUCAGCAUUCUGCACUAGAAAACUUCUAUUACAUCAUGAUGGUAAUUUGCUUAUUUAUGGAAGUGUUAUUUGCUAAAUGUAACAUCUCCAGAUAAGCAUUUCAGCUUUUAUUAGAUCUGGAUUGAUAAUCCAUGAAUAGCUAACCAAGUGGGGGUGAAUUGGUUUUUAAGACUUCUUCAAAAAAUAAACAUAAAUCAAGUAAGCAAAGAAUAUGUUGGUCAAUUAAUAAUUAUAAACAAGAGAAAGCAAUUAGAACAAUCAAAUAAUAUAUAUAAAUAAGGUAACAAUAAGUAAAAGGAUAGAGAGAAUGCAAACGAUAUAAUUAUGGAGGUUCGAUCCAAAUCAAUUGUCUACAUCUCCCGUUACCAAGCUCUAUGGCACGAGCAAGGCCUUUUUCAUUAUAUUGAUUGACUUAGAGUGCAAUCUAACCCUUUAUAGGUGACUUACAAUCAAGGAACACCGGUCAUUAUAAAAUAUAGAGCUUUGUGGGACCUCUAUAUAAUUGACAAAUACCAAGAAAAAAGUAGAUUAACACUUUAAUAAGUAGCAAUGAAUAAAUCUCAAGUGUUAGGUAAUAAAAACCUUGAUAAGUAGAAUGAUUUUCAAAAAUUAAUUCAAUCAA